UUUUUGGAGAGUUUGAUCCUGGCUCAGGACGAACGCUGGCGGCGUGCCUAAUACAUGCAAGUCGAGCGAACCGAAGAGAGCUUGCUC
Molecule: ribosomal RNA, 87 nt
Filed under: Bacillus chungangensis
Lineage: Bacteria; Bacillati; Bacillota; Bacilli; Caryophanales; Bacillaceae
Description: partial 16S ribosomal RNA
Rfam family: Bacterial small subunit ribosomal RNA
Source: RNAcentral